This is a long non-coding RNA of Siniperca chuatsi (mandarin fish), 1333 nucleotides long. RefSeq lists it as uncharacterized. The transcript has 6 exons. The record is from RefSeq and is a predicted model, not a curated record. NCBI's taxonomy places the organism in Eukaryota, Metazoa, Chordata, Actinopteri, Centrarchiformes, Sinipercidae.
GUGUUUGUGAGGAGUAAAAAAAACUGCAGAACGACGGCUCAUAACACCACAAACGUGAAUAGGAUUUUGUUGCGGUGGUCGAAGCAGGAAAACGCAACAGCAGUCUCACCUGUCGUUGAGCAUCAGGGCGUUCCAGUAGGCUUCUAGCGGAGCCGUUACCACGGCGUCAAACAGAGUCUGCUGCAGCAGCACCUCGUCGCCUAGGCAACAGACAGGCCCGGUCAAACAAAGCUGCCGGAGCGAUGGAGGGAAAGGCCCAGAGGAUCAUGGGAGAAUGAGCCGAAACACAAGGAGGAAGCAGACAGACAGAUGAAGCUCUCUGAUUGGCCGGCUCGGCUCACCACAGUGUCCAUGUAGGCUUCCGUCCAAAUGAUGUCAUGGUCGUGGUUGAUGACCAUUGGUCGGCUGAGCACGUGCAGGUACUCCAUGACGUUCUCCUGCACGUCGGCCAGCGUGGAGAUGCGAUCCACUUGGUGUUUUGAGCGAAGGUCAUCUCUCUGCCGAUCAGGUGGAGGUGUAUCUGAUGAAAUGUGUUCAAAUGUGCUGUGUUGGUCCUCGGGCUCUGUGGGUCUCAGCUCUAGCUCCUCCUCCUCCUCCCUUGUGCUAUUGGCUGGUCAAUCUGGGGAGCCAAUCAUGGUCCGUCUGGGGGUAUAUAAAGGCUGAGGAGCUGCACUUCAAGGCCUCUUACACCCAGAGUGUUUGUGUAUUGUGAGCUAUUUUGUCAGGACUUGGUUCACAGCUCCUUUGUAUGUUGUCGGAUUAAUGUCAGAAAGGAAGUGAUUUCGCUGUUAGAUCAGAUAAUCAAUUAGUUAAGGAAGUUUUUUGUAUCUUAACGUCUACCUUUAACUCCUUCCCAGCUGCUAUUCUUGUUACAUUCCCUUUUCUCCUGUUUUUCUUUGUGUUGAUAGGGAGUUGAGGGUUGUAACUUUUUGGGUAGUUUUAGUAUUGUGAUUUUAUUUCUACUCAGGGCUGGUUGGUUUGUUAUUUUGGCCAGGUUCUCCCUGAUGCUACAUCUAUAUCUAUAUCUUUUCUAUAUCUGGCAAUAAAAGAUUGAAAUACUGAACAAACUGACUCCAGGUAUUCUUCAUCUACUUUUAUGUUACUCUCCUCUCCUCUCCCCUUUGUAACAGCUGUCAGUCUUUAAAGUCACUAUGUGUAGAUUGUUUCUGUAAUUAUGGCAUCUUUUUUUAAUUUGAGUAUAUUUUUUUGAUGAUCACCAGACGUACACUGUUAUAAUUAAAGCUUUUAACCAAUAACCAUGAGCUCCUGACCUUCCUCCAGAUUCUGCCUCAUUGACCCGUUUCUUGAGGUAACAAGUUGAGCUUCAAUAGCA